CGUAGGGUGCAAGCGUUAAUCGGAAUUACUGGGCGUAAAGCGUGCGCAGGCGGUUUUGUAAGUCUGUCGUGAAAUCCCCGGGCUCAACCUGGGAAUUGCGAUGGAGACUGCAGGGCUAGAAUCUGGCAGAGGGGGGUAGAAUUCCACGUGUAGCAGUGAAAUGCGUAGAGAUGUGGAGGAACACCGAUGGCGAAGGCAGCCCCCUGGGUCAAGAUUGACGCUCAUGCACGAAAGCGUGGGGAGCAAACAGGAUUAGAUACCCUGGUAGUCCACGCCCUAAACGAUGUCUACUAGUUGUCGGGUUUUAAUUAACUUGGUAACGCAGCUAACGCGUGAAGUAGACCGCCUGGGGAGUACGGUCGCAAGAUUA
RNAcentral lists this ribosomal RNA (370 nucleotides) under uncultured organism. RNAcentral describes it as "bacterial SSU rRNA". It matches the Rfam family "Bacterial small subunit ribosomal RNA", at positions 526 to 896 of the family's 1533-position model. The record is from RNAcentral.